GCCUUAGUAGCGGCGAGUGAAGCGGCAAAAGCUCAAAUUUGAAAUCUGGCUCUUUCAGAGUCCGAGUUGUAAUUUGAAGAAGGUAUCUUUGGGUCUGGCUCUUGUCUAUGUUUCUUGGAACAGAACGUCACAGAGGGUGAGAAUCCCGUGCGAUGAGAUGAUCCAGGCCUAUGUAAAGUUCCUUCGAAGAGUCGAGUUGUUUGGGAAUGCAGCUCUAAGUGGGUGGUAAAUUCCAUCUAAAGCUAAAUAUUGGCGAGAGACCGAUAGCGAACAAGUACAGUGAUGGAAAGAUGAAAAGAACUUUGAAAAGAGAGUGAAAAAGUACGUGAAAUUGUUGAAAGGGAAGGGCUUGAGAUCAGACUUGGUAUUUUGUAUGUUACUUCUUCGGGGGUGGCCUCUACAGUUUAUCGGGCCAGCAUCAGUUUGGGCGGUAGGAGAAUUGCGUUGGAAUGUGGCACGGCUUCGGUUGUGUGUUAUAGCCUUCGUCGAUACUGCCAGCCUAGACUGAGGACUGCGGUUUAUACCUAGGA
This 530-nucleotide ribosomal RNA is filed under the name Candida tropicalis. Its description in RNAcentral is "LSU rRNA". It matches the Rfam family "Eukaryotic large subunit ribosomal RNA", at positions 77 to 612 of the family's 3401-position model. Lineage: Eukaryota; Fungi; Ascomycota; Pichiomycetes; Serinales; Debaryomycetaceae. The record is from RNAcentral.